GAUGAACGCUAGCGACAGGCCUAACACAUGCAAGUCGAGGGGCAUCGGGGCGAGGAGCAAUCCUUGCCGCCGGCGACCGGCGCACGGGUGAGUAACGCGUAUGCGACCUACCCGUUGCAGGGGGAUAAUCGGGAGAAAUCCCGUCUAAUACCGCGUAACGCCGCGGGGCUGCAUGGCCCUGCGGCCAAAGGGAGCGAUUCCGGCAACGGAUGGGCAUACGUGACAUUAGCUAGUUGGCGGGGCAACGGCCCACCAAGGCGACGAUGUCUAGGGGUUCUGAGAGGAAGGUCCCCCACACUGGUACUGAGACACGGACCAGACUCCUACGGGAGGCAGCAGUGAGGAAUAUUGGUCAAUGGGCGCGAGCCUGAACCAGCCAAGUCGCGUGAGGGAUGACGGCCCUACGGGUUGUAAACCUCUUUUGUCGGGGAGCAAAUUCCGCCACGUGUGGCGGAGUCGAGAGUACCCGAAGAAAAAGCAUCGGCUAACUCCGUGCCAGCAGCCGCGGUAAUACGGAGGAUGCGAGCGUUAUCCGGAUUUAUUGGGUUUAAAGGGUGCGUAGGCGGACUGUCAAGUCAGCGGUAAAAUACGGGGGCUCAACCUCCGCCCGCCGUUGAAACUGACGGUCUUGAGUGGGCGAGAAGUAUGCGGAAUGCGUGGUGUAGCGGUGAAAUGCAUAGAUAUCACGCAGAACUCCGAUUGCGAAGGCAGCAUACCGGCGCCCAACUGACGCUGAAGCACGAAAGCGUGGGUAUCGAACAGGAUUAGAUACCCUGGUAGUCCACGCAGUAAACGAUGAAUACUAGCUGUCCGGGGCGAAUGAGCCCUGGGUGGCACAGCGAAAGCGUUAAGUAUUCCACCUGGGGAGUACGCCGGCAACGGUGAAACUCAAAGGAAUUGACGGGGGCCCGCACAAGCGGAGGAACAUGUGGUUUAAUUCGAUGAUACGCGAGGAACCUUACCCGGGCUCAAACGACACAGGAACGUACCUGAAAGGGUUCGGCUCUACGGAGCCUGUGUCGAGGUGCUGCAUGGUUGUCGUCAGCUCGUGCCGUGAGGUGUCGGCUUAAGUGCCAUAACGAGCGCAACCCCCAUCGACAGUUGCUAACAGGUCAGGCUGAGGACUCUGUCGAGACUGCCGGCGCAAGCUGCGAGGAAGGCGGGGAUGACGUCAAAUCAGCACGGCCCUUACGUCCGGGGCGACACACGUGUUACAAUGGCAGGUACAGCGGGAAGCCACCUGGCGACAGGGAGCGGAACCCGAAAGCCUGUCUCAGUUCGGAUUGGAGUCUGCAACCCGACUCCAUGAAGCUGGAUUCGCUAGUAAUCGCGCAUCAGCCACGGCGCGGUGAAUACGUUCCCGGGCCUUGUACACACCGCCCGUCAAGCCAUGGAAGCCGGGGGUGCCUGAAGUGCGCUGCCGCGAGGAGCGCCCUAGGGUAAAACCGGUGACUGGGGCU
This 1460-nucleotide ribosomal RNA is filed under the name uncultured bacterium. RNAcentral's name for it is "partial 16S ribosomal RNA". It matches the Rfam family "Bacterial small subunit ribosomal RNA". The record is from RNAcentral.